This 222-nucleotide long non-coding RNA is filed under the name Setaria italica (foxtail millet). RNAcentral's name for it is "long non-coding RNA (SITA_LNC002412)". Lineage: Eukaryota; Viridiplantae; Streptophyta; Magnoliopsida; Poales; Poaceae. The record is from RNAcentral.
UAACCAUACCAGCAGUGCACAGCGCUUAAGCAGACUAGUUUCGAUCAUCUACCUCUAGUGAUCAAUAACCAAAGGUGCAAAUAUACACAUGUGCAACAGGCACAUUCAGAUUUCAAGCUUCGGAAACUUGUGGUCAUACUCAUGAUAUUCCUUCAUGUAUAAGACCCCCUUCAAGCAUUCAAGAUUUGAAGCAUAGCAUUUUUCUUCCACAGAAAAUGUCCA